RNAcentral lists this ribosomal RNA (1346 nucleotides) under uncultured fungus. RNAcentral's name for it is "eukaryotic LSU rRNA". The stretch from base 690 to 1346 matches the Rfam family "Eukaryotic large subunit ribosomal RNA", at positions 1 to 667 of the family's 3401-position model. The record is from RNAcentral. Lineage: Eukaryota; Fungi.
CUUGGUCAUUUAGAGGAAGUAAAAGUCGUAACAAGGUUUCCGUAGGUGAACCUGCGGAAGGAUCAUUAACGAAUGUUUUUGCGGGUGCUGCGGGGAAGCCCUGCGCGCGUCGCCCCUCAAGGGGCCGCGUGCGGGUGGAACCGUGCCCCAUCCACAAACCCACCCCUGUGCACUUUUUUGUUUUGGGACUCACGGACCGGUUGGUGUGCGCAAGCGUACCGGCCGGGUCGCCCAAUUCCACAUUUACACACACUCUUAGAAUGGCUUUGGCUUUUUGAAGCAACUUUGUAACAACUUUCAACAACGGAUCUCUUGGCUCUCGCAUCGAUGAAGAACGCAGCGAAAUGCGAUAAGUAAUGUGAAUUGCAGAAUUCAGUGAAUCAUCGAAUCUUUGAACGCAUCUUGCGCCCCUUGGUAUUCCGAGGGGCAUGCCUGUUUGAGUGUCUUGAAACCAUCGUCCCGUGCGGUCGCUGCGAAGCGACCGUUCUUCGGGUCGGACUUUGGGGGUUCUCUGCCGCUGCGAGGCGGCUCCCCUUGAAUGCGUCGGCUUCUGUUGGACCUCUUCUUUGGUCUGUUGCUGCCUGGGCGUUGUAUCUUCCUCGCUCUGCAGUGCGGCACGUGUCGGAGAAGUUGGACCUAGCCCACGGCCUUGCCUCUGGAGUGGCGGCCACUACGCUUUGUUGCGAAUCUGACCUCAAAUCAGGUAGGACUACCCGCUGAACUUAAGCAUAUCAAUAAGCGGAGGAAAAGAAACUAACAAGGAUUCCCCUAGUAACUGCGAGUGAAGCGGGAAGAGCUCAAAUUUGAAAUCUGGCGGUUCUGCCGUCCGAGUUGUAUUCUGGAGAAGUGCUUUCCGUGCUGGACCGUGUACAAGUCCCUUGGAACAGGGCGUCAUAGAGGGUGAGAAUCCCGUCUCUGACACGGAACCCCCAGUGCCAUGUGAUGCGCUCUCGAAGAGUCGAGUUGUUUGGGAAUGCAGCUCAAAACGGGUGGUAAAUUCCAUCUAAAGCUAAAUAUUGGCGAGAGACCGAUAGCGAACAAGUACCGUGAGGGAAAGAUGAAAAGCACUUUGGAAAGAGAGUAAAACAGUACGUGAAAUUGUUGAAAGGGAAACGCUUGAAGUCAGUCGCGUCUUGUGGAACUCAGCCUUGCUUCUGCUUGGUGCAUUUUCCAGUUUGACGGGCCAGCAUCGGUUUCUGAGUCGGACAAACGUGGGGGGAAGGUGGCGGCUCCGGCCGCGUUAUAGCCCUCUGUCGCACAACGGCUCAAGGGACCGAGGCAGUCCAGCGCUUGCGCUUGGGAUGCUGGCGUAAUGGCUUUAAACGACCCGUCUUGAAACACGGACC